UACGGAGGGAGCUAGCGUUGUUCGGAAUUACUGGGCGUAAAGCGCACGUAGGCGGCUUUGUAAGUUAGAGGUGAAAGCCCGGGGCUCAACUCCGGAAUUGCCUUUAAGACUGCAUCGCUUGAAUCCAGGAGAGGUGAGUAGAAUUCCGAGUGUAGAGGUGAAAUUCGUAGAUAUUCGGAAGAACACCAGUGGCGAAGGCGGCUCACUGGACUGGUAUUGACGCUGAGGUGCGAAAGCGUGGGGAGCAAACAGG
This 253-nucleotide ribosomal RNA is filed under the name uncultured bacterium. Its description in RNAcentral is "partial 16S ribosomal RNA". It matches the Rfam family "Bacterial small subunit ribosomal RNA", at positions 524 to 776 of the family's 1533-position model. The record is from RNAcentral.